Molecule: non-coding RNA, 10897 nt
Organism: Xyrichtys novacula (pearly razorfish)
Lineage: Eukaryota; Metazoa; Chordata; Actinopteri; Labriformes; Labridae
Source: the annotation of a GenBank genome assembly
UGUAUCUCUCAAAGGGGGCUUCUCUUUUUGGUUUCCUACAUCCCUCACAGCAGGGCAUGAUGCAGGUCAGCCACACAGCAGGAGUCAUGGAGCUAGCAGCCAUUCAAAGUCUUGCUCAGGGACACUUCAGCUGCAGCAGCACCUGGGCUACUAUGGAGCAUGAGCUUUGGUUGUCCAGCCUUGGGAUGUUUCUCUUUUUGCUGUAUCAUCCUCCUAUAGUGUUAGGAUGUCUGAGAUGGUCUCACGACGAAGGUGAGCUGACUUAUAUAUGAAGCAAUACAACUUCUAGCUUUAGACUGUGAGUCAAAUCAAGAUCAAAUCAACAGAAUAAUCGUCAAUCAAGUGCAAUUUCUUUACCAUGUUGUCAUUGUGGUUAAAGCUUAAAGGGAUAUUAAGGCAUAGAAUUAAUUUAGGGUCAAACACUGAGUUAGACACCCCCUCAAGAGAUAUAAGAGAUACCAAUUUUAGUAACGACCGCACCAUAGCAAUACACAGCGGUCUCAUUUAUUUAUCAUUUCCUUGAAGUAAUAAUCAUCAUAUUAAUCAUUUUGCACUGCAGAUGCGGUAGUUCCUCUGCCUUAGCAUCUUGGUCUGAUUGCAUAUCCAUGAAGAAAUGAUCAUAAAUGUUCUUUCUUGAGCUGCGUCACCCCGCUGUAGCCCAUAAUAGACUGGCCAGAGGUCUCGCUAUAAACCAGCGGCUACUGGAAGAGAGUCGGUGAUUCCGUUUAAAAGGUGGGGUAGGCAGGAUCGAGGAAGUGCCAGUUUUUGGGAGGAAUCUUGAAUGUUAACUCUACCCCUCCAAAUUAGCUUUCCCCUUAGCUCCUCCUCUCCCCUCCCUCUCUGCUCCAGCAAGCCCCGCCCACAAAUAGACGCUCCUGCUCGCUCGUAUCGUUUCAAUUACAUUCAGAUAUAAUGCAGAUAAAUACUUCAGAUGAUUACAAAUGGAGCCCAGUUAACAUGAAAGUAAAAAGCAUUGGUGCUACUGUAGAUGCCAACAGACUACCAGCAAACCCAAUGUUUGCAGGACUUCUACAACUAGGAUAAAGUGACAUACUCCAGGACCCGAGGUAAACAGUUUAGCGGCGCUACAACACGCAGCAGGUCCCGUUUGACAAGAAACACUUCUGUUACAGAUACUUGUAGCAGCAUGCUAACAGGCUACCUUCGACCACAAUGCUUUCAGCUCCUCUGCGACUAAAACAUGACUCACUACAGGUAAAUUAAACUUAGCGGCUUACCUGUCCAGCAGAAAGGCACAGGGUGCGUAAGAUCCGGAAGCGUCCCCCAUCAUUUAUGCUCCGGUUUUUCGCGCUUGUCCGCUCUACCUCCUUUUUAAGCACCCGUUAUUCCCCCAGAGUCUCCGGUAUGUACUUUGUUUUCUUGCUUGUGUCGGCAGUUGUUGCCAAAGGAGGAUUCAGACAAUUUUCUGUACUUUCUGGUUGGUUUCUACUGUCUGAUAUUGUAGCAGGCUAACUUUGUUUGGGCUCGUGCACGUUAUUCGAGUGCGUGGAGCGUGCUUCACCACACGAGGGAGCAGCGUCUGCAUUAUAACCAAUCAGCACUAAUGAGCAGCAUCUGCCUCACAACCAAUCAGGUCGGGGAGGUUGAGAAUGGCUUUGUUUACAGGAAGAAUAAGCGGACUGCUUAAAAAUUUUAAAACGUUGACUACACAGACAUAAGAGAACACAGCGAUAUCGUUAUAUUCCCAAAUAUCAUCAAUAACUAAUAGCUAUUGACUGAUACUAAAAGCUUUUUUGUAUAUACACCACAAAAAAGAUGCUUCUUUAACGGAUUCCUGUCUACCCCACAUUUAACUUAAAGCUCCAGUGAGGACUUUUUGAUAGGUGAUGAAAAAGACUGAAAUAAACAGUGAUGCGUCACAAGAUGUACAGUCCCUGACAAAAGUCUUGUCGCUUGGGUACAAGUUGACCAUAAGUGCCCCUCAAAUAUAUGUGCAAUACAUUUUUUUUUUACAAGAAAUGUCUAAUUUCAAUCCCAACAGUGUUUGAAAUAAUGUCUUGGUGCCAAAUGAAACUGCUGAAAAGCAUUCUAAUGUUCACAGCUUGGUAAAGUCCACUAAGUCAGUUUUUGCACAGACAAAAGUCUUGUCGCCUUGUCAUAUGAUGCACCCAAUCCAAGAUUACAGCCUCACCUGUGAUCAGUUAUUGACCAAUCAAUUAGUGGGUGUAUAGAAAGAACCACAGCACACCAGACCUUCACAUCAACUGCAACUUAACCUCUGACAACAUGCCUAAGAUUCACCCUGAGACCAAAGCUUUGAUCAUCAAGAGGCUGAAGACCAGAUCCACUGCUGAGGUGGCUGACACCUUCAAUGUGUCUCAGCGUCAAGUACAAAGGAUAAGAAAAAGAUUUGAAGAGACUGGAGAUGUUUAUGACAAGCCCAGGCCCAGCAGACCCCGAAAGACAACUGCUCGGGAGGACCAUUUGUUGGCUUGAAAAUCCAAGGCCAGCCCCUUUUCCACUGCAGCAGAGCUCCACCAGGUCUGGUCACCUCAAGUCCCUGUGUCAACCAGAACAGUUUGUCGAAUUCUGUCUCGGCAUGGCCUCCAUGGUCGAAUCAGUGCCCAGAAACCAGCACUAAACAAAAAGAAAUUAAAAAAACUUGUGGCAUUUGCCAAGGCCCACAGCCUGCUAAAAGGAUGGACGCUGGAAAAGUGUCAGAAGGUGGAUUUUUCUGAUGAAUCUUCGGUUGAAUUACAUCACAACCGCUGCAAAUAUUGCAGGAGACCUACUGGAGUCUGCAUGGAUCCGAGAUUCACCCAGAAAACAAUUAAGUUUGGUGGUGGAAAAAUCAUGGUCUGGGGUUGCAUCCAGCAUGGAGGUGUGCGAGAGAUUUGCAGGGUGAAAGGCAAUAUCAAUAGCCUAAAAUAUCAAGAAGUAUUAGCUACCUCUUACAUUCCCAACCAUAAAAGGGGUCAAAUUUUGCAGCAGGAUGGUGCUCCAUCGCAUACUUAGAUCUCUACAGCAAAGUUCCUCAAGGCGGAGAAGAUCAAGGUGCUCCAGGACUGGCCAGCCCAGUCACCAGACAUGAACAUCAUCGAGCAUGUCUGGGGUAAAAUGAAAGAGGAAGCAUGGAAGACGAAACCAAAGAAUCUUGAUGAACUCUGGGAGGCAUGUAAGACUGCGUUCUUUGCUAUUUCUGAUGACUUCAUCAAUAAAUUGUAUGAAUCGUUGCUGAACUGCAUGGAUGCAGUUCUUCAGGCUCAUGGAAGUCAUACAAGAUAUUAAAUAUGGAUCUCACAGCACCACUACUUGAUUCACUGAUGUUGUGCAACAUAUUUUGUAUUUGAAGUAAAUUAUUUGUUCAAUUUUCACAUUACUCUAUGUAGGCGACAAAACUUUUGUCUUGCCAAAAUCUGACUUUUCUGUGUUCAUUAAAUGAUCAAUCUUUCUUCGGUGAAGGAAAUUUAUUUUAGAUUUUAAAUAUAAUUUGGGAGGGUUUUAGCUUUCAUAUGAGCCAUUUCUAAAACCAAUGGAUUAAUGACAAGUCAGGUUAUAAGCUGUUGUUUCUACAAAAUGGAUAAGUGACAAGACUUUUGUCAGGCACUGUAGUUCCCCCAAUGCAUUUUUGCAGUUUAACUUCUGGGUUAAAGCCUGGUGCACAAACUGUGGGGAACUGUGGAGCAUGUGCGUAACUCUCUAAGCUGGUCUGACACUUGGAGUUUUAACAAGCUAGCAAAAAUGUUGUAUUUCCAGAUUACCAAAUAUAUUUAAAAAAAAGGAUUAAAAAAGGACCGCCAGAUGUUUAAAACAAACAGACACACUUAAAUUAAAUGUGAUCUUUGUUAGCAUUUUAUUCAGAUUACAUUAAGUGAAAAAAAUAAGUGCCUGUACUCUCCUCACUCACUUUUUUGCAUGUGUUUCAAGCAAUCAGCAUCAGUAAAUCUUUAAAAUUGUAUGCUGCUCUUAAUAGAAUAUAUCAGAUUAAUGCUGAUUUUGACACCGUACAUCUAUUGAAAUGUCUCCUGCAGUGAGUCACACAAACAAAGAAACUCUACAUCUCUGCGUCACCAUGCGCCUAUGCAAAUUUCCAUCAGGCUUUGGUGACUGUUGGCCUAUGCAGUGUCUUUGUUGUGCGGUGCAAAGGAGUCAUCAGGCCUUCUUUCAAGGACUCUGUUGGAGAGGAAAUAAAAAAGCAAGUUCACUUCCAUCACACAACAGAGACAGAUCCAAAUAGAAGAGGGAAGUGGCUGUAUAACACAUCAAGGAAUACAGGCAGAUAAGGAGUAAGUUAUAGAUGUCGUGAAAGUUUCAAAUAGUAAAUCACGCCACAAGGUAAAUUAAUUCAGACCUGUGUCAUUACCCAGCUCUGCUUUGGUUCAUGUCUUUGUGUCCUUUUCAAACCGGGUCGACAACACUGUCAUCAUCUUUAAGUCUAGAUUUUCUUUGUUAAACCAACACUGUUAAAUCUCGCACGUUGGCAUUAGUUUGACUCACCGGCAAAAAUAGACUAAUGCUGUGAGUGUCAUAUAAUGCCUGUGAAAGGACAUUGUGUCAUUAUGAACUGGUGAAAGAAACUGCAGUCGACAGGAAAGGGCACAGGCAGCCGGUGAGACGUCCUGCUAUGGCAAGGAGAAGUGGCAAUACUUAACAAGUAUGUGUUUUUUCAAAGAUUGCAUUUGUAACCAGGGUGUGAAAUUUUUUAAACAAAAGAAAUAAAUGCAGUUUUCUAUUUUUAGGAGUAGAUUCAGGCUUAAAGAAGUCAACCCUUGCCGACUGAAUUUCUUUGUAUGCGCUAGUAUGGUAGUAAUAUGUGAUACGCGUUAAGAUGUGCCUCUCAGGGACUGGAAAUAUCAACUUAAUCCCAGAUAUGAUGUUGCAUGUCAGUCUUUAAAUAUAUGAAGGUUGUUAUUAAUCCAAAAUUAUAUCCAGGAUUGGGGACUUCCAGACUAGUACACCAAAAGAGUAUGUUGUGAUCUUUUUUUUACUUCCCGUUUUCUUCUGAUUCAGCUUAAAUUUCUUCCAUAUGUUGGUAUCAGCCCAAAAAAGCAGUUGACUUGAUGUUGAGAGCUGAAGAUUUGACGGGAUACGUUCCCAAAAACUUAUGUAUAAUACAGUGGGAGCACCUCAAACAAAAGCAACCACUUUCUACCUCCCUCUUCCUUCCUGUUACUCAUCUUUGUCACUAACAAACCUGCUAAUCCUUUGACCUGUGCUGAGCUACGUCAGUCGCUGUGCUGCAGGAAUCCAAGGUAUUCUCCACGGUACCAGCUGGUGCACCACUUGUGCCUGUUUGAUCCUUUGGCAGACUCCCCGUCCUGUUUAGAGUGUAUUUUUAGGAUAUUAGAAAAAUGUGAAAGUGAUGUUGCCCACGGUAAUGUGGGGUAGAUGUGUCAUCUUGCUUCUGCUAGUUGUCAUGUCAGUUCUCAUUAGUUUAAGGAAAGAUGUUUGUAGAGUCAAACCCAUGCUUUCGGGGUCAAGGAAGAAUCUUGCCCGGUCAAACUGUGCUGUUUAGCCGUGUGUGGCUUAAUCCCGGUAACACCAUAGUGGCUGGCAAAUAUCAAGAAAUUAAAAGAUGGGUUAUUUUUUCCCAAAUCCUGACAAAGGUUUUUUGUGUAGAGGUUUUCUGAGCUGAUUAGGAACUAUACCCACAUUUACGAUAUUACAUGUCAUGAACUAUUUAAUGAACACCAUCUGCAGUGCUGCUUCUGAUUUAGCUUUUUCUUACCAGAUGCGUGAUCAGUACUUAUUUCAUUGUUGCCGUGUGAACCACAGCAGCUGAGAACUUGUCAUGAACUUUAAGGAAAACCAGUCAUUGACUUCUUUUGUUGCUGAUACCAACCAAAUGUAAAAUUGAAAAAAAAAAAAAAAAAAAAACUCACAAAGAAGACUUGAGUGAGCCACUCACUGUUAAGCCUCUCCAUGGCCAACAAGGCUGGAAGGCUUGGCGGUACCAUUUGCAUGUGAGUUAACUCAGAUUAGUUCAUCCAGCCAUGGGAGCCAGCCCCUCUUCAUUUUGACGCUAAACCAUGCUACAUAAUCAUAAAUGUUCUUCCUUGAGCUGCGUCACCCCGCAGCAGUCUGUAAUGGACUGGCCUGAGGUCUCACUACAAACAAGCGGCUGCUGGAAGAGAGUGGGUGAGUUGUGUUUAGUCUCUUUGCUAAAGAAAUUAGGCAAAGUUAGAAAGAUGUUUGGUGGCUAGUACUAUGGCUGGGACCCUAUAUGUACUGUUGAUGAAGUUAGGUGCUGUUCUGAGCAUUAUUUGUGCUGUGUAUCGCUAUCCUGCGGUCAUUUCUAAAGUUGGUAUAACUAGAGAAGCAAGCAGUUGGCAACAUUCAUCUCUCGAGGGGGUGUCUAACUCAGCGUUACUGUAUGUUUGAACUUAAAUUAAUUUUACGCCGUAAUAUCCCUUUAAGUUUCUCCUCUAUGUAAACGGCUCAGUCAGACUGGAAAUGGCCUAAGACUUCCAUACAUGCUCCAGAGUUUGCACGCUAUGCUUUGACACGGAAUACAUAGAGCAUAAAUACGUGGCUUAUGAGCAGUGCCAAUAUUUUCUUUAUCUGUCUAUAUCUGGCUAAACUGCACUAGAAAUUUUGAAGCCUAGAAAGUAUUCCUUGAUAAAAAUUAGUAUUCUAGUUAAGUGAAGAGGAUUGGUUAGAUGCUGCAAACCUGCCUGGGUGAAAAGAUUAUUAUAUUGUCUUUGGAGGUGAGAUUAGGAAGGCCAUAUGCAAAUGUGGUGCAUCAAGAAAAGAUCAAAUAAUUUCAUUGGAGAUGGAGUUAUCAAAAUAAAAAUCAUUUCGGUUUUGAAAUCCUUUUGUGUGAAUAACCUUGAAACCUGACCAGAUGUUUUUGUAUUUGCACAAGACUUAAAUUUUCAUGUUUACUGUUCGAUAGCAGCAGCUAUUAUUAAAUACAAUGACUCUGAUCUUGAUUGAAACAUGUCCCUGACACGCUUGUCAGCCUGUUUUUUUCACUCUGCUAAUUUUAUACAGUAUUGAAGAAUACUUGACACUCUUUUGUAUUCGCUUUGCAAGAUUUCAACAACAAAGAUUGAUAGCGACGCGUGUCACUGUCUUUUUCAGCUCUCUUUUUCACUACCUCCUUCACAGUGUUUCUCUCUUUGUCUUCCUCUCCUCCUCUGAGCCCUACUCUUCCUCGCUGCUUUGGAAUUCUUCAUGUGCUCCCGCUGUGGUAUUGUGGCACCUCAUUCACGUUACCUGGUGUCACAGUCUUGACUUCCCUUUCGCUUUGUUAAUCGGCAGUAAACAACAUGGCUGUCUGGGGACUCGGCAUGGCGCGGGGACAUAUUUUUACCUCGGCAAAAAAAAAAAAAAAAAAAGGAAAGAAGGAGAAAAAACAAAAACACAUGAUUAAAGUUGAUGCCUUUCACACUCCACACUGUGCACAAUGAUAAAAGGUACUCAGAUAUCCAAGUGACAGGUCAAAGCAAUGCACACAGAUAAUUGAUGCUGCCUCAGAAUCUCACCGUGGUAUCAGAAACACUUGGCAGUUUCACACGGUUAGCAUGCCUCUUUAUUCUCCUGGGUGUUACACAGAAUUCAUCUAAUCUAGCACUUCUAGUCAAGCGAUCACUUCCAUUUAGUACCCGCCUUAAAACAACAACAGAGUUCUGCUUUGUGUUAAUUACCAGUUCACAAUGUCAGGUCAGGCAACCUUUUAGUUCAGUAAAUAUUUUGUUUUGCUCAAGGCAGGGUGUGCUCUCUAAGUCAGCCCUCAUUUUCAGGCCUCAUUUGAAAAAAAGUGGUGUUUCAUGAGUCGGAUAUUUUUUGUCUUGAUUUAAGGUCAAUUGAAGGUGUGCAGAUGGUAGAAAUCAUUUUAAAAAAACAUGCUACACGGAUCAACUGAGGGGAAAAAGCUUUUUGUAGAAAAUUCUAGGUCUGACUGUCUAAUUAUAGAAAAGAAAGGAUCAUCCAACACAAAUAAGGAAGAGAAACAACAAAUUCAUUGUUGAAAUGAGCCUUUAACAUACUAUAGAAAAAUGAUUAUAUAAACCCUGUCAAAUAUGCUCAGUGUGUUGCAUAGAAAUAUGUUUUUAUGCAGGAUUAAAAACACGUUUCUAACCAAGUCAACAAAACUCUAAUAGUUAACAAAAUCUCACAAAUCACAGACAAUCAUAAACCGUAAUCACUAUAUAAAUAUUUCUCCUGCAAGCAAACCCUGCAGCACAUCCUUCCAUGAGGCUGACUAACUGUGUAUAUGUGUGUGUGUGUCUGUGUGUGUGUGUUUUGAGAGCCCUUUCAGCUGAUUAAAUAUGUGAAUAUUUAAAAAUGACAAUUCUCAGCACAGCUGCAGAUCGUCGGCAGGUCUGUUCCUCAGGGAACCCGCCAAGCUGUUCCCUCUGCAUUCAGCAUCAUGCGCCGCACUGCACGAGGAGGCUCCAGCGCCAUUGGAGGAGACUCCAUGUCAUUUGUAGGAUCUGAUAUUCCUCCCGUUAAAUACAGAGCACUCGGCAUGUUCCACGUACGAAAAAAGACUGAUCCCAGAGGGCUGUGGAGUGUUUGGCUUUUAAUUAGCUUCUCCUUCCUUCUUCCGGCUCGACCAUUUGCCACUGUUUGAUUUCGGUGAUCGUGGUGAAGCGGCCUUGGCUCGCACUGCUGUGAUCAUCUGUAGAGGAUGGCAAACUGGUGACACGCUUAGUCUACAUGCAAACAUUUAUGUAGCUCUAAGGAGAUCUCUCGGAGUAGGUUGCAAGAGUUAAAAGGAAAGGAAAGGAGCUCUUUUGCCUUUAUUUUUCCUCAGCCUUUGAUGAUAUGAGGCAUCGUGCCAGGCCUACCUUUGCUGUCUCCUAUUAUUACGAGUGGAAAAGAUUUGGACCUGGCCCCAAGCACUUCAUUUGUAUCUCCAAAGACAGGAAGCAGACAGAUGUCAUUUACAUUACAACAAAGUCGACCUGGAUGUUUUCCUGGUGGAAGAUGGCAUGGAGAAAGGCUAAACAUGUCAGAGAACACAUUUUUCACUUCUGAGCACUGACUUUACGCUAACAGAUAUGUAAACAACAUAUGUAGACAUAAUGAUGUAGGGGAGACCGGGGCUUGUUGUUACACUUUUUACACAAUCGUGUAUUUCUUGGAAUCAAUAUGUCAUAUAUAAACAAAGUGUGUACCAGAUAAAAGACCAAAAUCUCAGGUACAUAUUUCAUAUUCAUGUCAUUUUCAUAUCUUGUGUCAGUGCAGAGUUAUAAGCAAUCAAAUAGAGAGUGUGAACAUGUGACAUGUUGCCCCACCAUCAGGUAAGUUGUCUCACUACAUGGGGAAAGAUCUCACAGUGGAUUUUGCAGCUAAUAAAACAAGGACAAAAUUAUUGUUGAUCUCACUGUUUUAAAUGAAAGUGAACAUCAAAGUCAGACACAGAAAAUGUUUAUCAUUGAGCUGGAAAAAGUCAUUGAACAAACGUUAACAUAAAAUAUUAUGCAACAUGCUCUGGAGUUUGGAGAGCUGUCUUCUUGCUUUCUCCUCUCCUUAAACCACUCUUUUUUUCUGUAAAAAUUAAAGUCAAAAUUUCAUAAUGACAACUGCUGAUAAACAGAAACUAUAUGUUAAUUUUAAUCCCUUUUAAACAUGUGACAACAAACCCCAAAAUGGCUGAGGCAUGUUGCCUCAAACUACCAUGUUUGCUAAUUCUAGCUCUAGCUUACAGUUAGCUUAAAACAGAACAAUGACUGAGGUAUGACAGGGUGUCUUAAUCUCUCCUCUAACAAGUCCACAUAUUUCACUGCUAGGAUUCUUAUCUGGAAGAAGCUUAUUUUAAAAUAUAUAAAGUUGAAUUUUUUACUUGGGUUGUGUGAAAUAGCUAAUUGGCACUCAUCUCAGCUCACAAUGUGCUCUUCUCUUCUCAGACAGGACACGACCCCUGAUCAUGUUAAGGAAGAAAACUAGUAUUCAACUUUUUAGUUGCACCCUCUGGUGGCAAAGAUAAUUGCAAUGUGACAACUUACCCAUGUGACAACAAGCCCCGGUCUCCCCUACAGAAACAAACUGAGUGCAUGGUGGAGAGAUUACAACUUUGUACACUAAAAUUAAAGAUUUGGAUUAUACUUAGAAAAACCAAAGAAUACCCCAAGUAAAUUACUUGAUCCCUUUUUCUUUAUUGUAUGGGCUCUGUUCAUCAUAACCUUCCUUCUUCUCAAACUGGGUGGACUAACACAAAUGAGGUUGUAUUGUCUGAGUUAGGAUAAGCUCAUUCAUUCAACAGUAUUAAGGCAUAAUGUGUAAUCUGCGGUUAGACGGAGUAGUGUUAAAUUCACAGAGCUAAAUUUGAGAUGUUUUAGCUGCUGAGGCUGUGUCCAAAUCUAACUCAAAUCAAGCAGCUCCCAAAACUGCGUCAAAAUCUGAGGAAAUAUUCACCACUGCGAUCACUGAAUGGUGGCUCUAUAACCCGUUUUGCCUGAUCACUGUGCUCAUUCCCACAGUGGGAGCUUAUAGUUCAUGUUGUGAGUGGACCUCUCAUCCUACAGUGCAGUGGAGCCCAGCUUCAGACUUCUCAGCUCACACACACUCACCCACUCGCCCACGCAUCCUCAGGAGCCCAAACCCCCCACUCAUCAGCCCCUCUACUUGUGCCAGGCGUGCCCCUGUAUCGCCUCGCUUACUCUCCACCAGUGUGUAUCUCAGAGCUCUGCCAACCCCCUACAUCACACUUCAAACACACACACAUACACACUCACACACACACAGCACGCACACAAGGGAGACAAAAGAGAGGAAAGAGGUCAGUGGGUCUCUUCAAACACAAAGAACCUCUGAAGGAGCUCUGACUGGUUUACACUGCACUCAAUUACCUGUAUUUGAUUAUUGCUGUGGCAGUGUUCGAAGAAACUGUAGCCUCACACUCUUUUCUUUCUCCUCUUUAUUUAGCUUCCUGCAUAGCACAAUCCAUAUGAGUCCAUAUGAAGCCGGAUUCGGUUCUUAUUUUUCC